This 76-nucleotide non-coding RNA is filed under the name Micromonospora inyonensis. Lineage: Bacteria; Bacillati; Actinomycetota; Actinomycetes; Micromonosporales; Micromonosporaceae. RNAcentral also lists the same sequence under 1 other name. The record is from RNAcentral.
ACGAGCCGGAUAAGCCGAGAGGCUUACGUCCGGAUCUGUGGGGGACGGCGGGUGAAAUCCCCGCCGUCUACCCGGC